RNAcentral lists this ribosomal RNA (254 nucleotides) under uncultured bacterium. Its description in RNAcentral is "partial 16S ribosomal RNA". It matches the Rfam family "Bacterial small subunit ribosomal RNA", at positions 524 to 776 of the family's 1533-position model. The record is from RNAcentral.
UACGGGGGGAGCAAGCGUUGUUCGGAUUUACUGGGCGUAAAGGGCGCGUAGGCGGCCACCGCAAGUCGACUGUGAAAUCUCCGGGCUUAACCCGGAAAGGUCAGCCGAUACUGCGGGGCUAGAGUGCAGAAGGGGCAACUGGAAUUCUCGGUGUAGCGGUGAAAUGCGUAGAUAUCGGGAGGAACACCAGCGGCGAAGGCGGCUUUCUGGACCAAUACUGACGCUGAGACGCGAAAGCGUGGGGAGCAAACAGG